AACGAACGCUGGCGGCAGGCCUAACACAUGCAAGUCGAGCGCCCCGCAAGGGGAGCGGCGGACGGGUGAGUAACGCGUGGGAAUAUGCCCUUUGCUACGGAAUAGUCUCGGGAAACUGGGGGUAAUACCGUAUACGCCCUUUGGGGGAAAGAUUUUUCGGCGAAGGAUUAGCCCGCGUUGGAUUAGGUAGUUGGUGGGGUAAUGGCCUACCAAGCCGACGAUCCAUAGCUGGUUUGAGAGGAUGAUCAGCCACACUGGGACUGAGACACGGCCCAGACUUCUACGGGAGGCAGCAGUGGGGAAUCUUAGACAAUGGGGGCAACCCUGAUCUAGCCAUGCCGCGUGAGUGAUGAAGGCCUUAGGGUUGUAAAGCUCUUUCAGCUGGGAAGAUAAUGACGGUACCAGCAGAAGAAGCCCCGGCUAACUCCGUG
RNAcentral lists this ribosomal RNA (431 nucleotides) under uncultured bacterium. RNAcentral describes it as "partial 16S ribosomal RNA". It matches the Rfam family "Bacterial small subunit ribosomal RNA", at positions 29 to 507 of the family's 1533-position model. The record is from RNAcentral.